AUAAAAUCCAGGUAAUGUCAAAUAAGAUAAAUCAUCCAUUUAAAUUAAGAAUUUUCAAGGGUCUGCUUUUCGUGUUCUUAAAAGAAAAAAAUAUCCUGGUCAUUUCAAGUGGGUGACUGUUAAAUAUUGGGAGAGAAUCAAAAUAUCUUCUCUGGUUUAAGAAGGGAAAAACAAGAGUAAAGAAUAAAGUAAAAUUACCAAUCAAUUAAUUAAAAUCUUUUAAAUCACACAAGAUUCCCUAACUACUAAUGAUUCAUGGCACAGAGACUCCAAUGGGUCUAUUUUCAAAGUUUUGAUGAUUAUUUAAAGAAGUGAGAUUUCUUAAAUUAUUCUGUGAGAUUUUUUCUCUGAGAUUAUUAAGCAAAAGGAAUAAAAAUUAUGGUAGUGGAGCAACUGGAGGCAAGAAAUAAUACAAUAAUAGAACUUUAUCUUCUGCUAGCACCCCUUUUUCCUUUUCUAACACAGAGAUGGAGGCAUAUGGAGUGAAAAUCAUCUAGACUCCCAAACACCGAUUGAAAGAAGAGAUUGAACUACCUCACUGACAUUCAUGCUAUAAGACAGAAGUCUAUGAAUCUUCUAGAUCACUUCACCUUUUGGGUUCAUUAUGAAGAAUCAUUAUGGCUUUCACCUCCUUCAUUGAAGAGAGGUUUUCUAACUUCCUGGGAUAAAUCAAAGCUGCCUGCCUUGUCUUUCUGCCAGCCAGCUUAUGUUCCUACGACGUCCAGGUAUUCUGCAAGCAAGGGGACUAUUUCCUGCAAAAUAAAAAAGUGAUGGAAUUUUACUCACACAAUCGCGAUACCUUUUUAUUCAGCUCUACAAAUUAUCAUGUGAUCCUCUUUAAUGGUUUUUCUGAAGUAAUAUCUGAAGACAUUUGAUAACUUCAAGUAGUUUUUAAGGCUGAAUGGCAAAGAAAUAUGGAUAAUUGAAUAAAUAAACACAGAGGGAUAGCUCUUUGGGUAUGAGAGCCUCUUGAUAUCACUUAAAGGAAUGGAAUGAUAUAUGUCACUAAGGCAAUAUAUGAAUGUAAUAUGCAGAAACUAACAACUGAUUACAUAAAAUUGUCAUCCUAAACUAUGGAUUAUUGUUCUGCUGGUGAAUGCUUUAUAGGGUUAUUUCUAAGAUUGGAUUUGGACACAUUUUAAAUAUAUAAUCUCUGAAUGCCUUUUCCCACCUCAGUAUAUUAAGGUGUUUCUUUUAAUCAUGAAUGCACAGUAAAUAGAGAUUCAUAGAUCAUC
This 1235-nucleotide long non-coding RNA is filed under the name Equus caballus (horse). RNAcentral's name for it is "lncRNA (ENSECAG00000051436.1)". The record is from RNAcentral. Lineage: Eukaryota; Metazoa; Chordata; Mammalia; Perissodactyla; Equidae.